CAGCUUUAUAUGAAUAAUAACUGCCACCCUGCCAUUGAUUUCUUUCUUCUGUAUAUGGCAAUGAAAUUAAAGCAUCACUAAAAGACAAUGGCUCUGCAGUCUAGAUGUAAAAAUUGAUAUUUUAAUAUGAAAUGUCAGAAAAAUUAUGAGGGUGUUGCAGGUGUUUUCAGACCCAAAAUGGGUGCUGUCAUUCUGCAGCAGUGGAUCACCAUAUAUUGUGCAUUACUUUUAGAUUGAUUUGAGAGAGAUGGGAGAAAGACAAGGUUUGGCUUGGCUUAAGGGUGGAAAACAGACUAGUCUUAGAGCACCUAGUGAGGUGUCAAAAGAAGGUGAAACUUGUGCUAGUGAAGCAAAAUCACUUGCUUCUCAAGCAAAAUCUCUCACUGUUCAAGAAUGACCUGAUAAAAAGUUUGAAGUUUAUUCUGAUCUUUUUGGGAAUUGCAAAAAAUUCUUAGCUGCCCUUUCUCCCCCUACUUAUAUUCCACAAUUCACCAAAUCAAUCAUCAUCAUGCCUUGCCUCUUGUUGUGAAGGGAGAACCAAGAUUCACAACAUCACCAUCAUCAUCACAUUCAUCAUUUGCUGUUUUGAAAAUAGAAAAAUGAAAGUAGCAUGUUGUUUUCUGCUAGCUCUACAAAUAAUGAGUUGGGAAUUUGCAGUUGUGGCAAGAAGAUCUUUUCUUCCUACUGAUACCAUGUCCCAUCCAGGUUAGUUAAACUACACACACCCUUUUGAUGUUUGACUUCUUAACAUUUAAGUGCUAAUUAUAAUUAGCAAUUAUAUCUUCAUAAAAUUCAUACCUGCUUCAAAUUUUCUGUCAGUGUCCAUUUUCUUUCCAUAUAUUUUCAGACAGAUAUAAAAUAGCUUGAUCAUAUAUAUGUCUUCCCCUUUCAGCCUUUUCAAAUGUGAACAAUGCUCUUUGAUAACUAACUAUUUCAUUCUUUUUGUACCAUGUUGUUGUCUCUGCUCCAUCAGGC
RNAcentral lists this long non-coding RNA (975 nucleotides) under Phaseolus vulgaris (common bean). RNAcentral describes it as "long non-coding RNA (PVUL_LNC003194)". Lineage: Eukaryota; Viridiplantae; Streptophyta; Magnoliopsida; Fabales; Fabaceae. The record is from RNAcentral.